This 354-nucleotide long non-coding RNA is filed under the name Phasianus colchicus (ring-necked pheasant). RNAcentral describes it as "lncRNA (ENSPCLG00000011922.1)". Lineage: Eukaryota; Metazoa; Chordata; Aves; Galliformes; Phasianidae. The record is from RNAcentral.
GCUAGCCUACAGGUAUUUCUGCAUGUGCUGAGAGGGUCUGAGAGUCUGGAAGAGCUGGCUAUUGUCCCACAAACAGAGCCACUCAGUGGCUGCCUGUUUCUGCACCUAGCCCUGCAAAACACUGUUACUUUACAGUCAAGGAUACAGAAGCUGCAGUUGAAUGAGAACUAAUAUGGGAGAGUGCUGCUCAAGAGUCAUCCUUGCUGACCUCUGUGAAAAUUGCUGAUGGUAUCCCAAACAAUAUUAUCUCCGUGCAGAGAUAUGAAUACUUUAAUUUCAUUGAGGAUCAUUGCUCUGACCACCACUGCACAAGAAUGAGAACUGAAAGACAAAGUCAAGAGGCUUCAUUCUAUA